Molecule: ribosomal RNA, 568 nt
Filed under: uncultured bacterium
Lineage: Bacteria
Description: bacterial SSU rRNA
Rfam family: Bacterial small subunit ribosomal RNA
Source: RNAcentral
UUGUUGGUGGGGUGAUGGCCUACCAAGGCGACGACGGGUAGCCGGCCUGAGAGGGUGUCCGGCCACACUGGGACUGAGAUACGGCCCAGACUCCUACGGGAGGCAGCAGUGGGGAAUAUUGCACAAUGGGCGCAAGCCUGAUGCAGCGACGCCGCGUGGGGGAUGACGGCCUUCGGGUUGUAAACCUCUUUCAGCAGGGACGAAGCGCAAGUGACGGUACCUGCAGAAGAAGCACCGGCCAACUACGUGCCAGCAGCCGCGGUAAUACGUAGGGUGCGAGCGUUGUCCGGAAUUACUGGGCGUAAAGAGCUCGUAGGUGGUUUGUCGCGUUGUUCGUGAAAACCGAGGGCUUAACUCUCGGCGUGCGGGCGAUACGGGCAGACUGGAGUACUGCAGGGGAGACUGGAAUUCCUGGUGUAGCGGUGGAAUGCGCAGAUAUCAGGAGGAACACCGGUGGCGAAGGCGGGUCUCUGGGCAGUAACUGACGCUGAGGAGCGAAAGCGUGGGGAGCGAACAGGAUUAGAUACCCUGGUAGUCCACGCCGUAAACGGUGGGUACUAGGUGUGGG